GACGAACGCUGGCGGCGUGCUUAACACAUGCAAGUCGAACGGAAAGGCCCUGCUUUUGUGGGGUGCUCGAGUGGCGAACGGGUGAGAAACACGUGAGUAAACUGCACUUGACUUUGGGAUAACUUCAGGAAACUGGGGAUAAAACCGGAUAGGAGAUCCUGCUGCACGGUGGGGGUUGGAAAGAUUCGGCGGUUGGGGAUGGACUCGCGGCUUAUCAGCUUGUUGGUGGGGUAGUGGCGUUCCAAGGCUUUGAAGGGUAGCCGGCCUGGGAGCGUGACCGGCCACAUUGGGACUGAGAUACGGCCCAGACUCCUACGGGAGGCAGCAGUGGGGAAUAUUGCACAAUGGGCGGAAGCCUGAUGCAGCAACGCCGCGUGCGGGAUGACGGCCUUCGGGUUGUAAACCGCUUUCGCCUGUGACGAAGCGUGAUUGACGGUAAUGGGUAAAGAAGCACCGGCUAACUACGUG
This 468-nucleotide ribosomal RNA is filed under the name uncultured bacterium. Its description in RNAcentral is "partial 16S ribosomal RNA". It matches the Rfam family "Bacterial small subunit ribosomal RNA", at positions 28 to 507 of the family's 1533-position model. The record is from RNAcentral.